CAGAGUGAGCAGUGCAGGAGUUAAAGGGGCAGUGCCCUGUUGUUGCUGCAGAGCAGAUAAGUGAGCAGUGAUUAUAUGUGGGACACACAGUGGGAGGGGUGCCAUGUGACUCACACACACUCACACACUGUCACACUCAACAAACACUCACCAGGCAAAGAGCUAAAGGAUGGGGGUGAAGGCUCUGACGUGUUUCCCUUGGUACGGGAGAAGGAAGGAAAGAAAAAGGAAGAAGAGUGAGGAGGAACCUCCUUCACCUACCUCACCUUCCUCCCCCUCAUCUUCUGGCCACAAGCCAAGCCUCCGCUCCACUCCCUCUGUGAACAGUGAUACAGAUGCACAGCAGAGCCGGGCCUACUUCAGCGGGAAGGCCAGGGUGUCCUUCCGCCACCAGAUGGAUUCGACCAUGUCGGCUAAUGACUCAACCUUCUGAGUCGCACAUUUCCAUAGGAAUGAACCAAACUCGCCCUGAAUGUCAUUAAAGGGGGAUUCCUGCUUCCUGAGCCAAUCAACCAUAGGACCUUCUGAGACACCUUCUCAAGCACCUUCUCAAGUGAAGACCUAACCUUCUAGUUACUGAGUUCCACAAUCGGAGCCUCUGUAAUAAACACUCCUUCUUCUGCGUCUCAAGACUUUAGUAUUACAUUACGAAAUGAGAGCGCCCCCACUCUAUACACACCGAUAAUGGUUACAAACUCUUUCACUGGGAGCCUCAAGAACAAAUACUCUCUGAUCCUCUCAGCUUUCUGAACCAAGCUUACAGAUGGACCUACCUAUUCCCACGUUCUUGAUCCAGUUGAAACUGUCCAUAACCGAAUUUGAUACUUGCACAGCCAUUGCAACUUCCUAUUCAAUAAGGGACAGUGAGGCUCUGGAUAAGAAUGUGGACUUUAAUUUACAUUUUGACUCCAAAUUCUAAAUGGUUGUAGCAAGGGUAACCUCCUGUGCCUUAACGAGGGGCAGAAAAGUACCCUCCCCAGCAAAGCCAUUCUGAUUUUCAGCUGCUAUACCCACAUUUUGAACCUCUAUCGAAUCAGACUCAACAAGAACAUGUUCUCAGCCACCACCUUCUUACCCUCAAACCUGUAUAACUUUUCAACAUUCUAACCCUCACAGCUUGAUAACUCCAAAUUCUAACCCCCAAAACGAAUGAAUGUUCUAAACCUACUCCAUGUUCUAGACCACAAGCCUUAACAGCUAACCCCCGAAAGUAUUCCAUGUUCUAACCCCAAAUACUUGAUAACCACAUUUCAGACCAGAAACCUUGAUAAGCACACAUUCCAACCCUAAACUUAUUUCAUUUUUUAAACCCCAAUACUUGAUAGCUAUUUCAUAUUCUAACCUCAAUACUUUGAUAACUCCACAUUCUAGAUGCCAAGCCUUGAAACUACAUAUUCUAACCCCCAAAACUAUCCCAUGUUCUAACAACCAAGCCUUGACAACAUACUAACCUCAAAGCCAUAUAACUCUACAUUCUAACCUCCAUAACUACUCCACGUUCUAAGCCCCGAAGCCUAACUCAAUAUUCUAACCUCCAAGUAACUCCACAUUACAUUUUGACCUCCAAGAUCUGGUAACUCAACGUGCUAACCCCCAAACCCUUGUUAACUCUACAUUCUGAUCGACCAAGCCUUGAUCAGGUCACAUUUUGACCUCAAGCCUUUCUCAACCAAUCCACUUCCAAGGCAUCAGAUAUAAUUAAAUUCUUCACUCAAGCUGUGCUAAUGGCUUGACAUUCCGAUGCUAAGAUUUGUGUAGCAACAUCUGGUCCCUUAUAUUUAUUAACAAACAAAUCCACAUUCUCGUGUGCACACAAAGGGAGGGGAAACAGAUUUGGGUGCUCAGACCUGCAUAACAACUCCACACUGUGUUCCUUGCCAACAUACAGUCUUGACGUGCAAUGUCAAACAUUCAUUAGCAGCUACGCCUUCCGAUACCCAUUGACAGCUCCACCCUCAAAUUCAUGAUAAUUUCACAUUCUGAGCCAAUUUGACCAGGGACAAUAACUUCUCUGCCUUUCCAAUUCUCAGAAAUAAAGUCACCUUCUGUGCCUUGUUAAUGAGGCAUAUCAACAGCUCCACCUUCUGAUUGCUGAGAAUAACUAUACCUAACAUGAACAGCUCCACCUUCUGAUACUCAACAGAACCUCAUUUAUGGACAUAAAACCCCUUCUCUGUGGACUACCAAAAGCAAACGUUCUUCAUGAACUCAUUAGUGGAACAGACGGCAUGGGUUGGGUCUGUAGACUGUAUCUAUAAGCAGUGCUGUUACUUUGCUGUUCCUGGGAUUUGGUGAGGAACCCCUUGUCUAUAAGAAGAGAAGCUACCGUGACUUCCAGUUCCAACCCUUAUUAAAUGUAAAGACAAUAAAUAUAGGUAGAAUUUUUUUAUUAA
Molecule: long non-coding RNA, 2393 nt
Organism: Xenopus laevis (African clawed frog)
Lineage: Eukaryota; Metazoa; Chordata; Amphibia; Anura; Pipidae
Exons: 3
Source: RefSeq, a predicted model, not a curated record